RNAcentral lists this ribosomal RNA (305 nucleotides) under uncultured bacterium. RNAcentral describes it as "partial 16S ribosomal RNA". It matches the Rfam family "Bacterial small subunit ribosomal RNA", at positions 505 to 807 of the family's 1533-position model. The record is from RNAcentral.
ACAGCAGUAGCCACGGGAAUACGGAGGGUGCAAGCGUUAUCCGGAUUUAUUGGGUUUAAAGGGUCCGUAGGCGGACUUAUAAGUCAGUGGUGAAAGCCUGUCGCUUAACGAUAGAACUGCCAUUGAUACUGUAAGUCUUGAGUAUAUUUGAGGUAGCUGGAAUAAGUAGUGUAGCGGUGAAAUGCAUAGAUAUUACUUAGAACACCAAUUGCGAAGGCAGGUUACCAAGAUAUAACUGACGCUGAGGGACGAAAGCGUGGGUAGCGAACAGGAUUAGAUACCCCAGUAGUCCCUGUCUCUUAUAC